AUUGAACGCUGGCGGCAGGCCUAACACAUGCAAGUCGAGCGGAGCGGCGGACGGGUGAGUAAUGCCUAGGUAUCUGCCUGGUCGUGGGGGAUAACGUCCGGUAAUGGGCGCUAAUACCGCAUCCUAUCAGAUGCGCCUAGGUCGGAUUAGCUAGUUGGUGGGGUAAAGGCUUACAAAGGCGACGACCCGUAACUGGUCUGAGAGGAUGAUCAGUCACACUGGAACUGAGACACGGUCCAGACUCCUACGGGAGGCAGCAGUGGGGAAUAUUGGACAAUGGGCGAAAGCCUGAUGCAGCCAUGCCGCGUGUGUGAAGAAGGUCUUCGGAUUGUAAAGCACUUUAAGUUGGGAGGCGUUACCAACAGAAUAAGCACCGGCUAACUUCGUGCCAGCAGCCGCGGUAAUAC
RNAcentral lists this ribosomal RNA (407 nucleotides) under uncultured bacterium. RNAcentral's name for it is "partial 16S ribosomal RNA". It matches the Rfam family "Bacterial small subunit ribosomal RNA", at positions 30 to 526 of the family's 1533-position model. The record is from RNAcentral.